CCCAGAGCUGUGGAGUGUGACAAUGGUGUUUGUGUCCAUCUAUCAAACGCCAUUAUCACACUAAAUAGUUCC
Chloebia gouldiae (Gouldian finch) is the source of this 72-nucleotide microRNA precursor. Lineage: Eukaryota; Metazoa; Chordata; Aves; Passeriformes; Passeridae. The record is from Ensembl.